RNAcentral lists this microRNA precursor (132 nucleotides) under Pelobates cultripes (western spadefoot toad). Lineage: Eukaryota; Metazoa; Chordata; Amphibia; Anura; Pelobatidae. The record is from RNAcentral.
GACAGAGUUAGGGAGGGAGUGACUAGUGACAGAGAGAGGGAUGGGGUGACUAGUGACAGUCACCCCCUCCUUCACUCGGUCACUAGUCACUCCCUCUCUCUGUCACUAGUCACUCCCUCCCUCUGUCAUUAG